RNAcentral lists this long non-coding RNA (10006 nucleotides) under Marmota monax (woodchuck). The record is from RNAcentral. Lineage: Eukaryota; Metazoa; Chordata; Mammalia; Rodentia; Sciuridae.
AUACAGUUUUUCUGCAUCUUUUUAAACUCAUUGAUCAGUUUUAUAAUCACUCUUUUGAAUUCAUUAUCUGGUAUUUAAUUCAUUUCAAUAUUUUUGGUAUCCCUUGAUGGUGAAUUAUGAACUUGAAUUGCUAUCUACUUUUUCAUAUUUCUUAUAUUUUGGGGUUGGGUUUUAUGCAUCUAUUUGGAUAAUUUUUUUCCCACUCUCGUGUGUGGGUCUUCUCUUGUGAAAUUGUUCUGGGAUAUCAGAUUAUUGUAAAUUUGUUAAUAUAUUUUCAAAUGGGUUUUGUAUUAUAAUUUCCCUGCUAGUCCUUUGGUGAUGAUCAGUAUAAUUUGAUAUAGUAUAUAUAUAUAUUGUGUCAGAGGUUGAGGAUUUUACUUUCCCUAUAGGUCUCAAGAAUGGGAUUCUUCUUGUAGAUUUGACAGUUGUAUUGUAUACAGCAGGAUAUGUGGGGUACACCCUCUGUGAUUACUCUUCUUCACUUAACAACUCUUUAUAUUAUAAAGGGGCAUGGAAGUGAUCUAGAUUGAGACCCCUCAAAAGUCCAUAGUCUUUGUGUCAAUUCUCUCUGCUUUUGCUGUAGGAGUGGAGGUCCAUGUGUGUACCUGAGGGCACACUCUAACUGUUCUUACUUGGAACAGCCAUUCAGGGUGGACAUAUUUCUGCAAAUGUGCUUCUGGAAGCCAGUCAUAGGGUCUGUACUUGAGUGGCAGUUUCUCCCAAUGAUAUUAAUUCAUUGAGCUUCUGAAAGUCUCCAAUCCUGGAAUUCCAUGGUGCCCCAAAUUGCUAUAUAAAUCAAUAAACUUACUCUCUUUAGAGACUCUGACCUGCCAGAAUGACUGUGAUAGGCAAUAAAUGCAUCUCUGCGCCUUUAUUUCAGGUGUUGUGUGGUAGCCUCAUCACCUGUGACCAGGGGAGGGCUGUCCCUGCCUCCACUUAUUUCAACGUCUGCUGCUUGCUUCCCCAGGAAACACGAGCUCCAGAUCAUGUGGCUGCUCAGGACAAACUCUAGGACUGAAACAAGAAGGCACUUAAUGUUUGCUGAUGUGAGGCUGAUGUGUUAUGGAUGUAACCAUGAGCAAUGGAGACCCAGCCCUCCUCCUCAGAAGGCCUAUGUCUGACCUAAGUGGACAGAUGACCUUCAGAGUGUGGCCAUGCUAUCUGAGUGCUCAGCAGGGACCCUGAAAAAAACCACAUGGAUCCUGGUGGGAGGCUCUCCACAGGAAAUGGUGUUAAGGUUGGAACCUGAAAGUUAUGCAGAAUGCUGCCAGGCAAAGGGGACCUGGGAUCCCAAGAGAAUGGUCUGGAUGGAGGGUGACAUAGGAUGAUUUUAUGACAUCCCAGUGAAUGUCACCUCUUAAGUCAUGCCUUUGUGUGGGCCCCUCCCUCACAGAACAAGAGCUGGUCUGUAUGGCCAACAGAAUGGCAGAAAUCAUGCUGAAUCAGCUCUGGGAGGAGAGGGUGAGAAGAGUGGCACCCACAGGCUAUGCGAGAGUGCUCGCUCUUCUUCCUUUCCUCCUCUCUCUGCGAUUCUCUGUCUCCCUCUCUGUGUCUUGUGGACACAGAUGUCCACCUCUGUCUCAGUCUCUUUCUCUCUCUUCCUCACUUUUUCAUCUCUCAUUCUGUUGCAAUGUCUGUCUCACUGCCUCUCUCUCUCUCUCUGCCUCCCUCCCUGUUCCUCCUCACCUCUUCUCCUCCUCACCAUUUGCUCUGGGGAGAGCUCUCUGCUCUGCUCAGCAUCUUAUGGAGAAGCUGGAGUGGAUCCCCCUGCUUCUCCUCUUUCACUCUCUAGGGCUUGAUUCUUGCCUCUUUCUCCCAGGGCCAUAAGUUUAUGACUUGAUCUACAGCGGAUUGCAGUUCCCAAGGGAUACCCUAAGGCACUGGCUGUGCAAGCUGGAACUGGAGGGAACACCGUGGGAUAGAAGUCUGGACUUAGGAGUCCUUAGCCUAUGGACCAUGCUGGUGUGUACAGAAGGAUGAGGCAGAACAAGACACACGUUUCCCUGAGCAGUGCCCUCUGCCCUGCAUGGCCUGAACUUGGGCAUAGGAGUCUGGUGAGGGUUUUGACUGAAUUCCUUCCUCAGGAGGGCUGUCAGGCUGGAAGCUUGGUGUCAAAUAAGCAGGAAAAUCUCCAUAAAAAUAAAAUGCUAAUGAUCUGCCACAAAGUACUAAGGGGAAGGUGAGGGAAUAGCAGUGUAUUCUAGGAUGACUGCAGGGGAGGGAAAAUAACAUCUCCAGAAGAAUUUCCUUUCUUCUCCCACUGAUGAGCCUGUUGCCAGAUGAGAAGGGAGCAGGUGGGGUGAAGCUCACAUCAAAGUGCCACAGAGAAGGCUCAGGAGGGACAUGAAUAGAGAAAGGACAAGUGGAACAAGAGGCCAACAAAUCUAUAAAAAGAAAAGAGGGGUGCCUGGUGAGGGAGCCCAGAGGGAGUGUUCUGUUGGAUUCUGCUGACACUGGGUGUGUGGGGGUCUGAGAGCCAGGAGAGACGGGGUCUGCAAAGUGCACUAGUGUCCCUGAUUCAAUGACAGUCUGUCCUGUACCAAAGGCAUCAAGGGCCCUACAACUUGCACAGAAAACCAAACAAAACCAAAGCCAAGAAAAAACAAGAAGAAAGAAUAAAGGUAGGAAAGGGAGGGAGGGAGGAGGAGGGAAGCACAGAACAACACCCUCCCUCAGACCCUUCUACCUUCUCUACUGCUCUUCAACCUCUCAGAACAGUGACCUCCUCACCCAGAGGGAGCCACACGUUUGAAUCCAAUUGCUGAUUGUUGGAAAUGAUCACACAAGAAUCUGGGAAUGGAAGGCUGGGAGGAGAGCACUCAGGGUGUGAUGAACAAAUACACAGAAUGAUGGGGCUCAUCGAGGAAUUUCCUAUGUUGGGUCCCUGUUAUCUGUAGAAUUACAGAAAUGGAAGAGUUUAUUCUGCUCAGGAUCUUCCUGUGCAUAGAAAAACUGAACUCCUGUUUAGCCAACCAUCUGUCUUUCUGGUAUAAAGGAAUUUAUCUUUGAAACUGCAGACCAGCUUCACAGGAGGGGACAGGAGGCUGUGUACUUGAGAGCGAGACUGCCUACAGACUAGGAGGAAGAGCAACACCUCGGCCACAGUGUCCAGGGACCUGAGCUUUCCAUGGAUAGUUUGCAUUUCCCCAUAGUGAACGGGAUAGGAGAAAUCAAAGUCAAGAUUGAAGCAUGGAGACAAAUGAAGGUGUCUGGGGAGGCUGUUCAUGAUGUCACAGGGUCUAGUGACCUGCUUCCUCUCUCAUAUUUCAAUUCCAUUUAAAAAGUAAGUUUUAUUUUAUCACUUUCCUGUAGAAACUUAUAAUCAUGUGCACAACGUGCUUCCUAUUUAUUUGAUUUUUAGGCAUAGUAUAAGGCCCCUGCAAUAAUGAAUGACAACAUGAAGAUUUUGUUGGGGUGAUAAUUUUAAUUGUUGCUACUCAUUUCACUAACUACUGUGACAAGACUCAUUUUUAAGGGGAGGUGAACAUAGUGCAAAUUGAAUGUUAGACACCAGGAAGGAAUGGAAGAAGUGGACAUUUAGAUAGUGGCUGAGUUUUCCAACUCUAGGGGUUGAAAUGUCAUAUCCAGGAAGGAUGGGGACAGAAGCCAAGAGAACGGAGGCAGGGUGGAGUGGAGCCAGUCUCCUUGCUGUCUGCAGGUGGACUGGGGUGGAACUUGGCCACAUCCAGAGGAAUAAGUGGGAUUCCAGAAUGAUAGCCCCUGAGGUGAUGCUUUGUGAAACAACAGACAUCAUUCACAUAGUGGAUACCUAGUGGUCGCCAUUACCAGCCCUGACCCAGGGGGGCUCAUUGACCCUCACAGCCUUAUAAGGUAGGUAUUAUUCAUCUGCCUAUCUUACAGAUGAGAAAAUGGAGGCAGGGAAAGGUUAGUCCCUGGUGUCUCAGGUCGCAUAUAUGGUAGGUGGUAGAGGCAGAUUUUGUUGGGUACUCAAGUCAUCCAUAGUUUUAACUACAUGUGGUCCUUAGACUUAAAAGCUCAGAUGUUUUCUUGCCUUAAGUGGUAGACUCUUCUAUUUCAAUUUCCUCAUCUGCAAAAUGAGGAUGGUAGAGCUUGAAUUCAUGUGGUAGUGAAAGGAUAGAAAUGAGCUACUUCGCUCCUUUAUGGGGAUUGUCAGGAAGCCUGACACAUGGCAAGUGCUAGACAGAUCACAGAUGUGUACCCAUGGGGGCUGAUGUAAGACAGCUUCUGGCAGGCUCUGCUUGUCGGGACGUCACGGUGACAACAGGUAGGCUCACGAAGGUACCUGGCAUGACGGGCCAGCCAUUUGCCUAAGUACAUCCAGCUACGUUCACCCAGCUCAAGGAAUGUUGGAGUACCUUGAUGGAGCUUUGGGUACUUGAGUAGAGUCUGUUCCAUGUUUCAAAGCUGGUUAUUGACCCUCUCUGUGCCUCAGUUUUCUCAUGUAUGAAUGGGAGAAAGGAAUUCAUGCUUCCCAGAGUUCUUGGAAAGAGAAAAAGAGAUAAUAUGUGUAAAACAGACAUAAAAGAAACUCAACUGUUCAUUAGCUUUGUCUUCCUUAUUGAGUUAUUGUUUAGGCUGAUGUCCAGAGGUGGAAUGGAUCUCACUGAGGCAGGGAGUGUCCAUAGUCCUGGGCUUCACAGGGCCAAGUCUGACUUGAAUGACCACAAUCUGGCUGAAUUAUAUGUGGAGGGAGAUGUCCUCGGAAAGGCUCUCUGUGGCCCUUUUAGUGGUCAUGAUGUGUGGGCUAUGACAACUAUCAAUGCUCAUUUAGAGGAAUGGGUAUUAAAAAAAAAACUCCAAAUGUCCUUUUCCUGAACCCACCACAUCCUGCAGUUGAGCAGUGGCACCGCACACUUGGUUUGCUCUCAACACCUGUUCUGGACACCCGGAGCCUUCUGUUAACUCUCUACUGCUCAAUGGAAAUCCUGAUAAUGGAGUCAUGAGAAAACACUCACAAGGCUUCUUUCCCAUCUGGUGACCCCAGAGCUAAACACCAUAGGAAUUAGAAUCCCUAAUUUGCGUGAAGAAGAAUGACUAGAGGACCCAUCCUCUUGGGCUCCAGUGGCCUCAGGCGACUCUCAAUGGAAGACAACCCGGGGCCCACUCCUCCUGAAAUGGGGGUUGUGCAAACUCACAUCCACAGGUCCUCAUUCCAUGAGCACCUUCUGAUUCAAAGUCCAUCAAUUAAAACAAAUCCCUUCAUUUUAGACAGAAGUGCCAUAAUACAGGCACCAUCCAGGGGGCUUGUAUUCUGACAUUACAAGAAGCUGUGAAAUUACACAGCAAUAAAUAAUAAAGUCCUAGGCUUAGAAUCUCUAAUCAUCAUUCCCAAAUUGAUUUUAAAAAUAAUGAGGGGUAUUGUUUAUAGAAUGAUUAGGGAAAACUUAAAAUUCAUUAAAUGUCUCUCUAAGUCUUUUAUUUUCUUCAAUGGAAUUUUCAAGUACUUGGAUAUGUUCUCUGUUAUCAAAACAUGUAGAUGGAAGGAAUAUAUUUAAGCUAAAUACAUUGCUUUGUCCUGCAUCCUCGUGGGCACUUCACAGCAUCCAUGGCUCAUGUCCUCGUGUAGUUAUGAACCUUAGUGUGGGUAGCUGACAAAAGCCAGUUGUCCUACCGUUUUCAUCUACUGAAAUUCAGAAUCAACAUCACUAACAUUUAUUUUGUGCAUGGAGGUUCAACUCUAGUAUUUUGAGUCCCCGGAUGAUCUGAGAAAUUUAGUGGACAGAAGAUGUAUCAAUUGUUAAUUUCUUGAAUGACAACCCUGUCUCUAAACACUUUGCCUCUUUCUGUCUUUAAAGAGCAUCCAGCUGAUAUUUCUUCCAUUAAACAAGAAGAGUAUAUGCAGGAUUAUUAACCUUAGUUACUUACAUAUAACUUUAUGGACAAUAAUAAGGCAAAACUACCAGUGAUAUGGUACCCCUUGUGUCCCAGAGGAUUGGAUUAUAUUUUCCUUUUUUGGUACUGGGAAUUGAACCUAGGGGGUGUUUAACCCCUGAGCCACAUCCCCAGCACUUUUUUUUUUUAUUGUGAGACAGGGACUCUCUGAGUUGCUUAGGGCCUCCCUAAAUUGUUGAGGCUGGCUUUGAAUUCCAAAUCCUCUUGCCUCAACCUCCUGAGCUGCUGGGAUUAGAGGCAUGCACCACCACGCCCAGCAGCAGACUGUUUUUAAAUCAGUGGGUUGGAGUCACCGUAACAAUAGUACCCCAUGGCCCAUGGAGUCCAUGGCUGGAGGUCCAUAUUCCCCCUGUCUGUUUCCACCUGUUGGAUUGAUUAUUGAAAAGUAGUUUGGCCUCAAAUCUGUGCCUUCUGUAUUUGUUAGUGAAAAUUGGCAAGUUAACCGAGUAUUAGGUACACCCAUGAAAUGCAAGAUCAAAAAGAAAUGCUGAGAUGUGCUGUUUCUAUGAAGUUAAUUAAAUGCUUUGGAAAGAAUAAAAGAAUGAGUAACAAAAACACGUGGUUGAACCAGAUGAAAGUGAGGCAGCUGCAGAUGACUGAGAGACUGAAACACAUUGGAUAGAUUAUUAAGUGUCUUUAGAGAUCAUUUAAGCUCUUGACCUGUUUGUUUUUUUUUAACUUGUUCUAAUUAGUUAUACAUGACAGCAGAAUGCAUUUCGAUUCACUGUACACAAAUGGAGCACAACUUUUCAUUUAUCUGGUUGCAUGCAAUGUAGAAUCACACCAUUCAUGCAAGCAUACAUGGUGUACCAGCAGGGAUUUUGGCAGGCAGGGUGUGGAUUCAGGAAGGAGGAGGACCUGUAUGGGCUGAGCUCACAGGAAAGGCCUGGUCUUUCAUGAAAGGAUUGGAACAACUCACAUGUUUUAAAACUUAGACAAGUAGAGAAAAAAUUUUUUUAAAAAAAACACAGUUUGGGGUUUAUAGCAUGAUCAAGCAGUAAUUAACAUAUCUCAGGUACCUUCCCACCCCCUCUCUGGUCUCCCUGACUAUCCACACCCCCACCUCCGCCCCUGAGUGGCACUUUUAUUACCAUGAAUGAACCCACAUCCCUGACACAUCCUGAUCACCCAGAGCCCAGAGUUUGCAUUGGAGUUCAGCGUUUACUUGUUACUUGUCGGGGAACCUAAUCUACCUUGAACAUUCUGGACAUGAAGAUUGAAAUUUUUCUUAGCCAAUUUUAAAACUUAACCAACCUCUUACUAAUACCACUUCUAUUAAGUAAAAGCUUUGCAAGGUAAAAAAUGAAGCAAUUUCCCUUAAAAAGGAAUAGUAAAGUGCUGAGGCUCAGGAUGAAAUUGCUUUUCACAUGAAUUUCUGGAUGGGAGAAACCGAGAGCAUUGGAGGCCACAGUUGGAAUGACCAUUCUCUGCCCUCUGAGUUGCCGUGUGCAGCUCGGCCAAGCAGACCCGGCAGAUGGAGGUGGUUAUGACAACCAUGAUGGGGUAGCCCGUAGGGUUGGCUCUUGCCAGCUUUAAGUGGGUUGUAAGGAACUCCUGCACAAUUACUGACAUAUCUACAUGGAACCUUCCACCUGUCAGACUCCAGGGGAAUCGAGCUCACCCAGAGCUGAUCCCUUUCUGCAAAGGUUUCCAUGCACACUGUGCUGUGCUCCUCUGGAGCUCAGGAAGGGAACAAGAAUCAGAACAGUUCCUCACUUGUCACCUGCUGGUCCCCUUGGGAAGAAUAUAGCCACAGGCAGCCUCUAGUUGUGUUUUGUGUUUCUUAGUUUAACCUAAUGCAACUAUGGGAUCAUUUUCUUUAGGUUGGCGAACUAUUUAAGUAUAUAAACACUCCCCCCUCCCCAUUCUGUUUUCAGACCUUAUUUAAAGACUGAAGUCUGUUCAUUACUCCAUCAGAUAAAUUUUACUGCAGGAUUUUGGGGGUGAAAAAACUGUGAAUCAGAUUAACGAACAGGACUGAACAAGUAGCUAGCUCACGAAGGCUGACUGUUAAUAAAUAGUAAAUAUAUUGGUGGAGGGGAAAUACUUCUUUAAAUAAGAAGUAAAUAAGAUAAUAAGAAGUAGAUUAACAGCAUAGUACAGUGAUGCAGUCACAUCACUGUUUAUAGCAGCUCAAUUCACAAUAGAUAAGCUCUGGAACUAACCUAGGUGCACUUCAACAGAUGAAUGGAUGAAGAAAACGUGGUACAUAUACACAAUGGAAUAUUACUCAGCCAUAAAUAAGAAUGAAAUUAUGGCAUUUGCCAGUAAAUGGAAAGAACUGGAGAAUAUUAUACUGAGAGAAAUAAGCCAACCCCUAAAAACCAAAGGCCAAAUGUUCUCUCUGAUAAUAUGGAUGCUGACUCACAACAAGGGAGGGGCAGGAGAGGAAGAACAGAAGUUCAUUGGAUUAGACAAAGGGGAAUGAAGGGAAGGGAGAGGGAUGGGAAAGGGAAAGACCAUAGAAUGAGUGGGACACAACAUUCCUAUGUUCAUAUAUGAAUACAUGACCAGUGAAACUCCACAGGAUGUACGACCACAAGAAUGGGAAGUUAUAUGGCAUGUAUGUAUGAUGUGUUGAUUAUACUCUACUGUCAUGCAUAUUAAAAAGAACAAAUAAAAUUGGUUGUUUUAUGAAAUAAAAAGUAGAUAAAGUUUUCCCAAGUUACUGUUUUUGUACAGGUGUAUUUUUAGUCCUCCUAGGAACGCCCUGCAUAUGGCUCACUGGCUGUGUGUAACUAGACUGCCAUUCUACCUCUCUGGGCUGAAGUUCCCUCCCUGUGUAAGGGGAACCUGACAGUACAGGUAGUGUUGCUUGUUGCAAAGAUUAAAUCCGGGAAAAUAUGUGAUGAAGUUAAAACAGACCCUGGCUCACAGUAAGAAUCUAGCACAAGCACUGGUUUCUCAGCUUUCCCUGAAGGUAGAAGAUAAGCCCUGAUAUUUGGCCAGUGUCUUGCUCUACACCAGACUUUUCACAAAGUAAAGGACAUGGGGGAACACCUUCCUGCAUUUUCAACACCAUGUAUACGAUAUAGUUAUUUUGAGUAGCUUUGUGUGACAUUUCUGCUACAAACGGUUAAAGGACUCCAGCAACUUAGGCCAAAUUGCAGCUCAAAGAGUUUUCCACUGAGAAGGAAGCAGGAUCAAGAACAUCUGGACACUUGGACGCGUCCAGCCGUCACCCAGCUCCUGGGCCUGUGUGUGCUCCCCUCUCAGCCUGCUGGCCUUGCUCAGGCCUCCUUUGGAUAUGACUUGUCUCCUAACAGUGAAUUUGACAGUGCAGCAUGUGUAUUUUCUCUUUGUUGUCAUGUGCAAUGUUUAUCACAAAGCUACUGAUUGUGGUGACUUUGUUUAAUAAUAUGGAUGUUUCUGAAACAUAAAUCAGCUUCAUAUUGACACACAGAAACGCCUGAAGUGGUUUAGUAUUUACUGUGUUUUAUUGCUUUCAAGUUGCACUCUUAAUUAUUCUGUAGACAGUAACAACAAGGCUUUACCACUCAUGGAUCAAAAUGAGAAGUGAAAAUUCCAGCUAAGAAUGUGUAUAGCAAGCAAGCACAUAAAACCUAAACUCCUACAAAAACAAGAAAUAAAAAACCCCCCUUCAAAUACCCCAAAACAAAACAACCAAUUUACCAAAUAAAAAACAGAGUCAAGGGGGAAAGGAAGGACAGCAGAAUAAAAUAGACAUUUUUAUUGCUGUAUGUAUAUACGUGACUGCAUGACCAAUGUGAUUCUGCAACCUGUACACUCAGAAAAAUGAGAAAUUAUACCCCAUCUGAUUCAAAUGUAUGAUAUGUCAAGAUCAUUGUACGGUCAUGUGUAACUAAUUAAAUAAAACAGAGUCAAGUCUUUAUGUUGAAAUUUUUCAGAAAAGCAUAUCAGUAUAUAUACUGGCCAGUCUUUACAUUGACAUUUUUUGAAAAUAUAUCCAUGUACUCAAAAUGUAAGCUGACUUGCUUAGAUUUGUGAACAGUUUCUUCACCUACUUCUCAACGAAUACUGGAAUUUAAAUCACUCUGAAAUAAAAACAGUCCACAAUUUGUAAGAAUGUAAUCUAAGCUGAAAAAUUGUCCACUUUUGUGAUUUUUUUUUGUUAUCAUUAAAAUUAAAGUUGGUUGGAUUCUAGAGCUGC